This 1000-nucleotide long non-coding RNA is filed under the name Ictidomys tridecemlineatus (thirteen-lined ground squirrel). RNAcentral's name for it is "lncRNA (ENSSTOG00000030957.1)". Lineage: Eukaryota; Metazoa; Chordata; Mammalia; Rodentia; Sciuridae. The record is from RNAcentral.
AAGCUGCGCGGGCAGGGGAGCGCGGGCACCGGGAAGGGACACCGCGCAGGGCAAGCGAGGCCGCGGAGGCGGAGGCCUCUGGGGCGGGUACCUGAGUGCAGUGAUGCAGGGAGAAGCCCCCACGUGGGAGGUGUGCAGGGGUCGGUGAGGUCAGAGACUGCAUCCAGAGGGCGUCUGGGAAUUGGGGACGGCUGGCCAGAGGAGAAGGUGGGGUGGAAAGGAGGCUGCUCCAACGAUGUGGGAUGACAGGCUUCUGGGAGGCUGAAGCUGCACCCACGGAGGGAUCCAGGAGGUGGUGGAGGCCAUACCGUGGGUGGAGGGACAACGCAAUGGAAGGGCCAGGUAGAGGCCCUGGAGUUUGGAGUAAUAGAAAAGGGAGGUGUUCUGGGGAGGGGGAGUGUGAUAGCUAGGAUGUUUGGGGGGUUGUUAUAUUCCCAGUGGAUGCUGGACCCUAUGAAGCAAAGGCCAGUCUCCCUUAGGGGUGGAGAUAGAUAUGGAAGCUGCUCAACACAUAUUGCUCACAAAUAGCCAAAAUUUGCUAAUCCGUACCAUACCAGGAAUCAAAGAGCUAACACAACCUCCACCCAAUCCAGCUAGGGAAAUGAGUGAGGCAGUUUUUAUUAGAUGAUGUUAAUCCUUCAUGCAUGCAAAAAGGGAUAUGGGGUAGAUUACAUGAACUGACAUAAUGUAAUAAUUUUCUCUUUUUAAAAUAAAGGCAGAGAACAGAAGUUGAAGACCAGUCAGCACCAAAAAGGCUGUACAAGGUGCUCUUGCCACAUGUGGGUCACCAAUGUGUGACCAGCAGAAAGAGGAAAUAUCACUUAGGAUUCACAGUGUUCUUGUCCGACGAGGAAUCAUAAUUAUUACUAUUACUGACAGUUCUAGCCAAACACCAUGGAGACCCUGGACACUGACUCCAGCAGAUGCAGAACUGACCAGAACUGGAAGCCUGGUAAGGUUAAGUGUGGAUGUUCUAAGUAAUCAGUCCAGGCAGAAAGUG